UACAGAGGGUGCAAGCGUUAAUCGGAAUUACUGGGCGUAAAGCGCACGUAGGCGGUUUUUUAAGUCAGAUGUGAAAGCCCCGGGCUCAACCUGGGAACUGCAUUUGAAACUGGCCAACUAGAGUACGUGAGAGGGGGGUAGAAUUCCAAGUGUAGCGGUGAAAUGCGUAGAGAUUUGGAGGAAUACCAGUGGCGAAGGCGGCCCCCUGGCACGAUACUGACGCUCAGGUGCGAAAGCGUGGGGAGCAAACAGG
This 253-nucleotide ribosomal RNA is filed under the name uncultured bacterium. RNAcentral describes it as "partial 16S ribosomal RNA". It matches the Rfam family "Bacterial small subunit ribosomal RNA", at positions 524 to 776 of the family's 1533-position model. The record is from RNAcentral.